UGCAACCCCAUUCAGCUAGGGCCCCCCUCCCUUCCUACUCUAGGAAGAAACCGCAACCCUCCCCCUUGUCGCGCCGCCGCUCUCCCCCAACCACCUCGCCGGCAAACAGGUGAUGUCCGACCUGUCGCCCUCGCACCUGGCACCUUCGCACCUCCCACCUCUCGGCCUCACCUCCCAUGGACCCUGCGCCAUUGUCUUUUCAUCCCACUAUCGUACUCGCAUGCCACGACCGCCCUACUCGAAGGCCACGAACCCUGCCGUGGUUGUCGAAGCCGGCCAAGUCUGGCGGUGACUAACAUCAGAAGGUAGAGCGACCGGCCCACGUUGGACGAUCUGUUGUCCGAGAGGUGCAGCUAGGGAAAGCAAAAGGUCAAGGUGAACAACGCGGUCCUCUUGGAAGACAAGCUACUGUCUGAGUUGAGUACAAGCAAAUUUCGUUCCGGUCUGCUAGGUUUUACCCUUCGUCCCUCCUGGUUCAUUCGGGUCUGCUAGGUUUCACCCUUCUUUUGGUUCGUUCGUGUCUGCCAGAUUUGUAAUGGUAGAUUUGUUGGUUGCUGUAUAGUUGUAGAGGUGGAGUAAGUGAACGCAAAACGAGGUGAACAGCGCGGUGCUCUUAGACCGGCUCACUUAGGGCAAGCUGUCCCGACUCCCGAGGUGGUAAAUCUGAUAUUUCUUCAAGCUCUGUUCGAAGUGAAAGCAGAUCGACCCUCCAUAAUCUCCAAUAUCCUUCUCUGACAGUAUUUGGGUCAAUGGGUCCCUGGCUUUUAUCUCAAGGAUCUGAUUGAUCGUGAACUAAUCUGCAAGGCUUUGCUUCACCGAAGCCAGCAAAUCUACAUCCAGGAAUCCACCACCUAAGGGUUUUUACUGUACCUUGGAACAUUUAAUCUUUAUAUAUCUAGCUUGCUCAUGUUUUGUGGAUUUCAGAGAGUAGUUUAGGUUCUUUGCUUGUUUGUCUUUUGUAUACUGCUGUGUCUUGCAAUAGCUCAUUUUCAUUGAUUAAUUCGUGACAUAAUUAUCAAGUUUAGAAUUUUUGUGGAAUAAUUUGCCAUGUUUAUCGAAUCGAAACCCUGAAACUCAGGUGGUGGUGUACCACUAAAAUUGAAGCAAAGCUGUUGUAUGUCGUCAGCUUGGCGGUGAACCCUUUAGUUAUUUUUGAGCUUUUUUAACAUAAUCAUAUUCUGUUAGAUGCACAUUUUGCUGGCUGCUCUACUAAAGCCUCACUAGCCCUGCUAACUUGUGUAGUAAAUAUUCAUGCUUUAGAUUUUUGUUGGCCAUCUUUUCCUUUUAACAGUAUUGCGCAUGGAUUAUGCCCAAGCAACCAUCCAAGUUUACUUUGGAACUGUUAAUCUUUAUCCAGCUUCCUAAUGUUUUGCUAAAUGAGGCACUAAAACAUUUCAGAGAGUAGUUUGGGUUCUUUGUUUUGCAUUUUAUAAAUUACUGUGUGUCUUGCAUGAUCAAGUAUUAAUGAAAUUUUGUGGCAUUCUAUUUUUGCUAUUUUGAGAGUCUGUGUCACAAAAAUUGAAGCAAAGCUGUUUUAUGUCAUCAGCUUGGCAGUGAACUGUUUAGUUGUUUCUAAGCAUUGUUAAUUGUAUUUUUUUACCAAUUAGAUGUGCAAAAUUUGCUGGCUGCUCUAUUAAAAGUCUCACCAGCCCUGUGAACCUGUGUAGGAAUUAUUCAGGCUUUGGUCGCUGCAGAGGUGCAGCUAGCGAAAGCAAAAGGUGAAGGUUAACAAAGCGGUCCUCUUGGAGGACAAGCUGCUGUGUGAGGUGAGUACAAGCAGAUCACCAUAUUCCCUUCUUCUGGUUCGUUCAGGUGCAAAGGUGGAGCAAGGGAAAAAGCAAAAUGAGGUGAACCUUGCGGUGCUCUUAGGCAGACCCACUUAGGGCAAGCUCCAAGGUGCCAAGUAGAUCACCCCUUGGUCCCUUCGAGUAUGUUUGGGUCUGUGAGCUUUCUUCAAGCUGUUGUCUGAAGUGAAAGCAGAUCGCCCCUCCAUCAUCUCCAGUAUACUUCUCUGAUAGGCUUCUGAUGGAUGAGUUCCUGGCUUUUAUCUCAAGGAUCUGAUUGAUUGUGAACUAAUCUGCAAGGCCCAUUGCUCAUUAAUUGCUCACCAAUCUGUAGGGCCCAUUGAUCAAUGGAUCUGAUUGUUCUCAUUGUGAACUAAUCUGCAAGGCCAAUUUCAGGCUUCACUGAAGCCAACAAAUCUACAUCCAGGUAACCACCACCUAAGGGUUUGAAAAUCUACCUUAGAACAUUUAAUCUUUAUCCAGUUUGCUCAUGUUUUGUUGAUUGAGGCACUUGAACAUUUCAUAGAGUAGUUUAGGUUCUUUGCUUGUUUAUCUUUUAUGUACUGCUGUGUCUCGCAAUAGCUCAUUUUCAUUGAUGAAUUCAUGACAUAAUGAUUUUGAAAUUUUCUGGAAUAGUUUGCGUGUUUAUCGAAUCAAAAUUCACAAAUGUGAACCCUGAAACUCACGUGGUGGUGUACCACUAAAAUUGAAGCGAAGCUGUUGUAGGUCGUCAGCUUGGCAGUGAACUGUUUAGUUAUUUUCAAGUAUGUAAGUGCAUCUAGUGCCCCUUAGUGAUUUUGGUGUAUUGAAGACUUAUAGGUUAAGGGACUAAUGUGUUUAUGAGUGUACACAGGUCUAUAAGUCUAUGAGGAGUUUGAUAUUUACAGAGAAAGUCGACCCCUAAAAAUGAAUAUCUUCG
Molecule: long non-coding RNA, 2703 nt
Organism: Triticum aestivum (bread wheat)
Lineage: Eukaryota; Viridiplantae; Streptophyta; Magnoliopsida; Poales; Poaceae
Exons: 6
Source: RefSeq, a predicted model, not a curated record